Oncorhynchus keta (chum salmon) is the source of this 238-nucleotide long non-coding RNA. RefSeq lists it as uncharacterized. The transcript is spliced from 3 exons. The record is from RefSeq and is a predicted model, not a curated record. Lineage: Eukaryota; Metazoa; Chordata; Actinopteri; Salmoniformes; Salmonidae.
AUAUACUGGGUCUAUACUGGGGCUGAGGCAUAUACUGAAUCCGAGGUAUAUACUGGGUCUAUACUGGGGCUGAGGUAUAUACUGGGUAUAUAUUGGGGCUGAGGUAUAUACUGGGUCUAUACUGGGGCUGAGGUAUAUACUGGGUCUGAGGUAUAUACUGGGUCUAUACUGGGUCUGAGGUAUAUACUGGGGCUGAGGUAUAUACUGGGUCUAUACUGGGUCUGAGGUAUAUACUGGG